CAGAGGUCUCAACCGUUGUUCGGAUUCAUUGGGCGUAAAGGGUGCGUAGGCGGCGGAGUAAGUCAGGUGUGAAAUCUCGGGGCUCAACCCUGAAACUGCACUUGAUACUGCUUCGCUCGAGUACUGGAGAGGAGACUGGAAUUUACGGUGUAGCAGUGAAAUGCGUAGAUAUCGUAAGGAAGACCAGUGGCGAAGGCGAGUCUCUGGACAGUUACUGACGCUGAGGCACGAAGGCCAGGGGAGCAAACGGGAUUAGAUACCCCGGUAGUCCUGGCAGUAAACGGUGCACGUUUGGUGUGGGAGGAUUCGACCCCUUCCGUGCCGGAGCUAACGCGUUAAACGUGCCGCCUGGGAAGUACGGUCGCAAGAUUA
Molecule: ribosomal RNA, 372 nt
Filed under: uncultured organism
Description: bacterial SSU rRNA
Rfam family: Bacterial small subunit ribosomal RNA
Source: RNAcentral